This is a non-coding RNA of Salmo salar (Atlantic salmon), 54 nucleotides long. NCBI's taxonomy places the organism in Eukaryota, Metazoa, Chordata, Actinopteri, Salmoniformes, Salmonidae. The record is from Rfam.
AAGGUGGCCUAUGCCACAGCUAUGGACUGGUUCAUGGCGGUAUGCUAUGCCUUU